Molecule: ribosomal RNA, 507 nt
Filed under: Pilidiophora sp. RCMB0624
Lineage: Eukaryota; Metazoa; Nemertea; Pilidiophora
Description: partial 16S ribosomal RNA
Rfam family: Bacterial large subunit ribosomal RNA
Source: RNAcentral
AGCUUACUGGUUUUUAUAGUAGGUUGUUCCUGCUCAGUGUAAGUAGUAAAUAGCCGCGGUAUUCUGACCGUGCAAAGGUAGCAUAAUCAUUUGUUUUUUAAUUGGGGACUGGAAUGAAAGGAAGUUUGAGGCUUUUGUUGUCUCUUUUUUGUUUGGAAGGAAUUUGUUGUUUUUGUGAAGAAACAAAAAUCUUUAAAAGGGACAAGAAGACCCUAUUAAGCUUUACUUUUUACUAUGUUUUUUAUUCUUCAUGAUAUAUACAAAUGUAUAAAAAAGUUUAGUUGGGGUGACUAAAAAGGAGUAUUAUCCUCUUUUUAAUUUUUAACAGUAUGUUUAAGUUUGACCCAAAAUUUUUUGGCUAAAUGAAUAAGUUACUAUAGGGAUAACAGCGUAAUCUUGUUUAAGAGUUCGCAUCAAAAAUAAGGUUUGCGACCUCGAUGUUGACUUGUUAUAUCCUUUUAAGGCGUAGCAGUUUUAAGGGUUAGUCUGUUCGACUAUUAAAAUAAC